UACGUAGGUGGCAAGCGUUGUCCGGAUUUAUUGGGUUUAAAGGGUGCGUAGGCGGCCCUGUAAGUCAGUGCUGAAAUAUCCCGGCUUAACCGGGAGGGUGGCAUUGAUACUGCAGGGCUUGAGUACAGAUGAAGUAGGCGGAAUUGACGGUGUAGCGGUGAAAUGCAUAGAUAUCGUCAAGAACACCGAUAGCGAAGGCAGCCUACUAAGCUGUAACUGACGCUGAGGCACGAAAGUGUGGGGAUCAAACAGG
RNAcentral lists this ribosomal RNA (253 nucleotides) under uncultured bacterium. RNAcentral's name for it is "partial 16S ribosomal RNA". It matches the Rfam family "Bacterial small subunit ribosomal RNA", at positions 524 to 776 of the family's 1533-position model. The record is from RNAcentral.